UGCCAGCCGCCGCGGUAAUACGUAGGGUGCAAGCGUUGUCCGGAAUUAUUGGGCGUAAAGAGCUCGUAGGCGGUGUGUCACGUCUGCUGUGAAAAUCCAAGGCUCAACCUUGGACCUGCAGUGGGUACGGGCACACUAGAGUGCGGUAGGGGAGAUUGGAAUUCCUGGUGUAGCGGUGGAAUGCGCAGAUAUCAGGAGGAACACCAAUGGCGAAGGCAGAUCUCUGGGCCGUAACUGACGCUGAGGAGCGAAAGCGUGGGGAGCGAACAGGAUUAGAUACCCUGGUAGUCCACGCCGUAAACGGUGGGAACUAGAUGUGGGGUCCGUUCCACGGAUUCCGUGUCGCAGCUAACGCAUUAAGUUCCCCGCCUGGGGAGUACGGCCGCAAGGCUAAAACUCAAAGGAAUUGACGGGGGCCCGCACAAGCGGCGGAGCAUGCGGAUUAAUUCGAUGCAACGCGAAGAACCUUACCAAGGCUUGACAUAUAGAGGAAAAGUGCAGAGAUGCACUCCCCGCAAGGUCUCUAUACAGGUGGUGCAUGGGUUGUCGUCAGCUUCGUGUCGUGAAGAUGUUGGGUUAAGUCCGCAACGAAGCGCAACCCUCGUCUAUGUUGCCAGCACGUAAAGGUGGGAACUCAUGGGAUACUGCCGGGUCAACUCGGAGGAAGGUGGGGAUGACGUCAAUCAUUCAUGCCCUUAUGUCUGGCUUCACGCAUGCUACAAUGGCCGUACAAAGGCUUGAUACCGAGGGUGAGCGAAUCCAAAGCCGGCUCA
This 773-nucleotide ribosomal RNA is filed under the name uncultured Clavibacter kpa40f. Its description in RNAcentral is "bacterial SSU rRNA". It matches the Rfam family "Bacterial small subunit ribosomal RNA", at positions 506 to 1289 of the family's 1533-position model. Lineage: Bacteria; Bacillati; Actinomycetota; Actinomycetes; Micrococcales; Microbacteriaceae. The record is from RNAcentral.